Molecule: ribosomal RNA, 528 nt
Filed under: uncultured bacterium
Lineage: Bacteria
Description: bacterial SSU rRNA
Rfam family: Bacterial small subunit ribosomal RNA
Source: RNAcentral
UCUAGCCAUGCCGCGUGAGUGAUGAAGGCCCUAGGGUUGUAAAGCUCUUUCGGCUGGGAAGAUAAUGACGGUACCAGCAGAAGAAGCCCCGGCUAACUCCGUGCCAGCAGCCGCGGUAAUACGGAGGGGGCUAGCGUUGUUCGGAAUUACUGGGCGUAAAGCGCACGUAGGCGGACCGGAAAGUUGGGGGUGAAAUCCCGGGGCUCAACCCCGGAACUGCCUUCAAAACUAUCGGUCUGGAGUUCGAGAGAGGUGAGUGGAAUUCCGAGUGUAGAGGUGAAAUUCGUAGAUAUUCGGAGGAACACCAGUGGCGAAGGCGGCUCACUGGCUCGAUACUGACGCUGAGGUGCGAAAGCGUGGGGAGCAAACAAGAUUAGAUACCCUGGUAAUCCACGCCGUAAACAAUGAAUGCCAGUCGUCGGGCAGCAUGCUGUUCGGUGACACACCUAACGGAUUAAGCAUUCCGCCUGGGGAGUACGGUCGCAAGAUUAAAACUCAAAGGAAUUGACGGGGGCCCGCACAAGCGGU